Molecule: ribosomal RNA, 253 nt
Filed under: uncultured bacterium
Lineage: Bacteria
Description: partial 16S ribosomal RNA
Rfam family: Bacterial small subunit ribosomal RNA
Source: RNAcentral
UACGUAGGGUGCGAGCGUUAAUCGGAAUUACUGGGCGUAAAGCGUGCGCAGGCGGUUUUGUAAGUCUGUCGUGAAAUCCCCGGGCUCAACCUGGGAAUUGCAUCUGUGACUGCAUAGCUAGAGUACGGUAGAGGGGGAUGGAAUUCCGCGUGUAGCAGUGAAAUGCGUAGAUAUGCGGAGGAACACCGAUGGCGAAGGCAAUCCCCUGGACCUGUACUGACGCUCAUGCACGAAAGCGUGGGGAGCAAACAGG